UGCAGUCGAGCGGACAGAUGGGAGCUUGCUCCCUGAUGUUAGCGGCGGACGGGUGAGUAACACGUGGGUAACCUGCCUGUAAGACUGGGAUAACUCCGGGAAACCGGGGCUAAUACCGGAUGGUUGUUUGAACCGCAUGGUUCAAACAUAAAAGGUGGCUUCGGCUACCACUUACAGAUGGACCCGCGGCGCAUUAGCUAGUUGGUGAGGUAACGGCUCACCAAGGCAACGAUGCGUAGCCGACCUGAGAGGGUGAUCGGCCACACUGGGACUGAGACACGGCCCAGACUCCUACGGGAGGCAGCAGUAGGGAAUCUUCCGCAAUGGACGAAAGUCUGACGGAGCAACGCCGCGUGAGUGAUGAAGGUUUUCGGAUCGUAAAGCUCUGUUGUUAGGGAAGAACAAGUACCGUUCGAAUAGGGCGGUACCUUGACGGUACCUAACCAGAAAGCCACGGCUAACUACGUGCCAGCAGCCGCGGUAAUACGUAGGUGGCAAGCGUUGUCCGGAAUUAUUGGGCGUAAAGGGCUCGCAGGCGGUUUCUUAAGUCUGAUGUGAAAGCCCCCGGCUCAACCGGGGAGGGUCAUUGGAAACUGGGGAACUUGAGUGCAGAAGAGGAGAGUGGAAUUCCACGUGUAGCGGUGAAAUGCGUAGAGAUGUGGAGGAACACCAGUGGCGAAAGCGACUCUCUGGUCUGUAACUGACGCUGAGGAGCGAAAGCGUGGGA
RNAcentral lists this ribosomal RNA (727 nucleotides) under Bacillus sp. (in: firmicutes). RNAcentral describes it as "bacterial SSU rRNA". It matches the Rfam family "Bacterial small subunit ribosomal RNA", at positions 56 to 766 of the family's 1533-position model. Lineage: Bacteria; Bacillati; Bacillota; Bacilli; Caryophanales; Bacillaceae. The record is from RNAcentral.